UUGGGAAUCUUGCACAAUGGGGGAAACCCUGAUGCAGCGACGCCGCGUGGAGGACGAAGGGUCUAGGCCUGUAAACUCCUUUUACUCGGAAAGACUUAGGACGGUACCGAGUGAAUAAGGACCGGCUAACUACGUGCCAGCAGCCGCGGUAAGACGUAGGGUCCAAGCGUUGUCCGGAUUUACUGGGCGUAAAGAGCGCGUAGGCGGCUCGUUAAGUGUAGAGUGAAAUCUCUGGGCUCACCCCAGAAACCGCUGUGCGUACUGGCGAGCUGGAGUGUCGGAGAGGUAUGUGGAAUUCCUGGUGUAGCGGUGAAAUGCGUUGAUAUCAGGAGGAACACCCAUGGCGAAGGCAGCAUACUGGCCGACCACUGACGCUGAGGCGCGAAAGCGUGGGUAGCAAACAGGAUUAGAUACCCUGGUAGUCCACGCCCUAAACGAUGGAUACUAGGCGUAAGGGGUAUCGACCCCCCUUGUGCCGCAGCUAACGCACUAAGUAUCCCGCCUGGGGAGUACGGCCGCAAGGUUGA
Molecule: ribosomal RNA, 527 nt
Filed under: uncultured Armatimonadota bacterium
Lineage: Bacteria; Bacillati; Armatimonadota
Description: bacterial SSU rRNA
Rfam family: Bacterial small subunit ribosomal RNA
Source: RNAcentral